UACGUAGGGUGCAAGCGUUGUCCGAGAUUAUUGGGCGUAAAGAGCUCGUAGGCGGUCUGUCGCGUCGGAUGUGAAAAUCAGGGCUCAACCCUGGACCUGCAUUCGAUACGGGCAGACUAGAGUUCGGCAGGGGAGACUGGAAUUCCUGGUGUAGCGGUGAAAUGCGCAGAUAUCAGGAGGAACACCGGUGGCGAAGGCGGGUCUCUGGGCCGAUACUGACGCUGAGGAGCGAAAGCGUGGGGAGCGAACAGG
This 252-nucleotide ribosomal RNA is filed under the name uncultured bacterium. RNAcentral describes it as "partial 16S ribosomal RNA". It matches the Rfam family "Bacterial small subunit ribosomal RNA", at positions 524 to 776 of the family's 1533-position model. The record is from RNAcentral.